AACACUACCCCAGGAAAGACAGAAUCACAAGACUUUACAGGAUUCAAAACUAACAAGAUUGACGAGAGAUUCUGAUACUGUAUUAUGACCCAAGGAAACACAUUAUCUCUCCUCUCUCUGCUUCAUAAGGACACAAAAACUGCCCCAGAAAAGACAGAAUCACAAGACUUUACAGGAUUCAAGACUAACAAGAUUGACGAGAGAUUCUGAUACUGUAUUAUGACCCAAGGAAACACAUUAUCUCUCCUCUCUCUGCUUCAUAAGGUCACAAAAACUGCCCCAGGAAAGACAGAAUCACAAGACUUUACAGGAUUCAAAACUAACAAGAUUGACGAGAGAUUCUGAUACUGUAUUAUGACCCAAGGAAACACAUUAUCUCUCCUCUCUCUGCUUCAUAAGGUCACAAAAACUGCCCCAGGAAAGACAGAAUCACAAGACUUUACAAGAUUCAAGACUAACAAGAUUGACAAGAGAUUCUGAUACUGUAUUAUGACCCAAGGAAACACAUUAUCUCUCCUCUCUCUGCUUCAUAAGGACACAAAAACUGCCCCAGAAAAGACAGAAUCACAAGACUUUACAGGAUUCAAGACUAACAAGAUUGAAGAGAGAUUCUGAUACUGUAUUAUGACCCAAGGAAACACAUUAUCUCUCCUCUCUCUGCUUCAUCAGGUCACAAAAACUGCCCCAGGAAAGACAGAAUCACAAGACUUUACAAGAUUCAAAACUAACAAGAUUGACGAGAGAUUCUGAUACUGUAUUAUGACCCAAGGAAACACAUUAUCUCUCCUCUCUUUGCUUCAUCAGGUCACAAAAACUGCCCCAGAAAAGACAGAAUCAUGAGACUUUACAGGACUCAAGACUAACAAGAUUGACGAGAGAUUUUGAUACUGUAUUAUGACCCAAGGAAACACAUUAUCUCUCCUCUCUCUGCUUCAUAAGGUCACAAAAACUGCCCCAGGAAAGACAGAAUCACAAGACUUUACAGGAUUCAAAACUAACAAGAUUGACGAGAGAUUCUGAUACUGUAUUUGAACCUAUAGAAACAUGACCUCAACCCUCUUUGCUGGAGUUUCAUAAGGUCACAAAAACUGCCCCAGGAAAGACAGAAUCACGAGAGUUUACAAGACUGACGAGAGAUUCUGACACUGUAUUAUGACCCAAGGAAACACAUUAUCUCUCCUCUCUCUGCUUCAUCAGGUCACAAAAACUGCCCCAGGAAAAACAGAAUCACAAGACUUUACGCGAUUCAAAACUAACAAGAUUGACGAGAGAUUCUGAUACUGUAUUUGAAUCUAACGAAACACACUAUCUCCCCUCUCUUCGCUUCAUCAGGAGCGCCUAAAAGCCCCCCUCCGAGAAGCCACAACACUGACUUAACACUAGAGGUGAAUGUCUAGAAGAUAUGUAGUAGAAAAUGUAUGUACUGGAUCUCACUAAUGGGGAACGCUAGGCUUACUGGAUCUCACUAAUGGGGAACGCUAGGCUAAGUUACAACUAUGUGAGAAGACUAGGCCUAUGUUACAAGACUGUAGGUUAACUAGAAGACUAUAUUUGUAGGUUAAACAGAUUGCAUUUGUUGACUUGCGUUAGAAGACUGUAAGUUAGAUAUAAGACUGUAUUUGUAGGUGAUGUUAAGACUGCAUUUGACAACUUGCAUUAGGAGACUGAAGGUUAGCUAGAAGACUAUAUUUGUAGGUUAAACAGAUUGCAUUUGUUGACUUGCGUUAGAAGACUGUAAGUUAGAUAUAAGACUGUAUUUGUAGGUGAUGUUAAGACUGCAUUUGACAACUUGCAUUAGGAGACUGAAGGUUAGCUAGAAGACUAUAUUUGUAGGUUAAACAGAUUGCAUUUGUCGACUUGCGUUAGAAGACUGUAAGUUAGAUAUAAGACUGUAUUUGUAAGUUAAGUUAAGACUGCAUUUGACAACUUGCAUUAGGAGACUGAAGGUUAGAUAUAAGACUGUAUUUGUAGGUGAAGUUAAGAUUGCAUUUGUUGACUUGCGUUAGAAGACUGUAAGUUAGAUAUAAGACUGUAUUUGUAGGUGAAGUUAAGACUGUAUUUGUAAGUUAAGUUAAGACUGCAUUUGACGACUUAAGUUACGUAGGUUAGAUAUAACUGUAUUUGUAGGUGAAGUUAAGACUGCAUUUGACGAUUUAAGUUAGAAGACUAUAUUUGUAAGCUUAGGAAACCGCAUUUUGUCGACUUAUAUUAAAAGACUAUUUGUAGACUGACAGGUUGUAUUUUCAGGCUAAGUUCAAGACUGUGGAUAAGAUAGAAGAUUGCAUUUGUAGGCUAAAAAACUGCCCUUGUUGAUGUAUGUUUGAAGACUGUAGAUGAGUUAUAAGACUGUAUUUGCAGGUAAAGUUAAGUUAGAGAAUUAUUUGUAGACUGACAGGUUGAUUUUUAGGCAAAGUUUGAAGACUGUUGAUAAGUUAUAAGACUGUAUUUGCAGGUAAAGUUAAGUUAGAAGACUAUUUGUAGACUGACAGGUUGAUUUUUAGGCUAAGUUUGAAGACUGUAGAUUAGUUAAAAGACUCUAUUUGCAGGUAAAGUUAAGUUAAAGGAUUAUUUGUAGACUGACAGGUUGAUUUUUAGGCUAAGUUUGAAGACUGUAGAUAAGUUAAAAGACUGUAUUUGUAGGUAAAGUUAAGUUAGAGAAUUAUUUGUAGACUGACAGGUUGAUUUUUAGGCUAAGUUUGAAGCCUGUAGAUAAGUUAAAAGACUGUAUUUGCAGGUAAAGUUAAGUUAAAGGAUUGUUUGUAGACUGUAGAUAAGUUAAAAGACUCUAUUUGCAGGUAAAGUUAAGUUAAAGGAUUAUUUGUAGACUGACAGGUUAUAUUUUCAGGCAAAGUUUGAAGACUGUAGAUUAGUUAAAAGACUGUAUUUGCAGGUAAAGUUAAGUUAGAAGACUAUUUGUAGACUGACAGGUUAUAUUUUCAGGCUAAGUUUGAAGACUGUUGAUAAGUUAUAAGACUGUAUUUGUAGGUAAAGUUAAGUUAGAGAAUUAUUUGUAGACUGACAGGUUGAUUUUUAGGCUAAGUUUGAAGACUGUAGAUUAGAUAGAAGACUAUAUUUGUAGGGUAAGUUAGACUGCGUUUGUCGACUUGAGAUAGACUGUAUAGGCUUAGUUAGAAGACUGUAUUUGUAGGGUGAGUUAGACUGCGUUUGUCGACUUGAGAUAGACUGUAUAGGCUUAGUUAGAAGACUGUAUUUGUAGAUAAGUUAGACUGCGUUUGUCGACUUGAGAUAGACUGUAUAGGCUUAGUUAGAAGACUGUAUUUGUAGAUAAGUUAGACUGCGUUUGUCGACUUGAGAUAGACUGUGUAGGCUUAGUUAGAAGACUGUAUUUGUAGAUAAGUUAGACUGCGUUUGUCGACUUGAGAUAGACUGUAUAGGCUUAGUUAGAAGACUAUAUUUGUAGGGUGAGUUAGACUGCAUUUGUCAACUUGAGAUAGACUGUAUAGGCUUAGUUAGAAGACUGUAUUUGUAGAUAAGCUAGCCUACUGCCUUUGAAACUCCGGGCCCCUUUGAGUCAUUUUGUUUGUUACCCAUGACGGAGAUCGACACUAGUAUUUCCACGUAAAACUGGCCUAUGGGGUAGUGGCGGCUGCGGGGUUAGCCUAGCCGCGCACCUUGCCACACACUCUCAACACCUCUUGCUUCCUCUACAGCCGCCACGACCCCACAGCCCAGUUUCACGUGGAAAUACCAAAUCGUCGAUCGCCGCCAUUGGUAACGCUCAAAACAAACAAAGUGACUGUGAAAUCGGCCCUAAGAUAGAUUCUAGACUUAGUCAGCAGAAUGCCUUUGUUGUAUAAGACGAGUGUUUAUAGAUUACGUAAAAGACUCGGCAGAAUGCUAUUGUUGACUACGUGAAAAAGACUGUUUGUAGACAAGGUUUGAGACUGUUAGACUGAGUAGACAGCCUCCCCUUGAAGACUGUGUUACCAGAAUGCCUUUGAAUGGUUUCGUCAACGGGGUGAAAGAGACAUAUUUGUAGGCUAUGUUAAAGACUGAAGAUUAAGUUAGCCUGUUCUUGAAGACUAAAUAACCAGACUGCCUUUGAGUGCAUUUGUCGAGUGGUGAAAAGACUAUUGAUAGCCUGUUAAAAGACUGUAGCCUAACUUAACAGCCUGCCCUUGAAGACUAAAUAGCCAGACUGCCUUUGAAUGCCUCUGUCAACUAUUGAAAAGACUGUAUUGAUAGCCUGUUAAAAGACUGUAGCCUAACUUAACAGCCUGCCCUUGAAGACUAAAUAGCCAGACUGCCUUUGAAUGCCUCUGUCAACUAUGUGAAAAGAUGUAUUUGUAGACAAGUUAAAGAUCGUUAGACUAAAUAACCAGACUACCUUUGAAGACUUACACCUCACUGCCUUUGUCGCUACAGCCAAAACCCUGAAGAAGUAACAUCCUCACACACAUCGCUGGCGAGGAAAUGGCCUACAAGCUGUUUCGGAAAGGUAGAGAUUUUGAGCCGUUUUCACAGUCCAGCACGGUGUCUUCGUAACAGCCCGAACCAAACUAUAGAAUCCCAUACAAUCCAAAAUGGUGAGGUCUUCAAUGCCACACUAAAUACACAAGACUUUUCUGGUAUAGUUUCAUCAAAUUUGUGAACUUAAAUAUAAACACCAGACACUAUACGAGGAAAUUUCGAAGGCUCUGGUACUGGUUUGGGAGCUUACUAACCGAUCAUGGGGAACUGUGAAACUCUCCCUUUGUGCUGAGGAUAAUUUGGUAUCCUGUGACCACUUCCUUGAAACGACACAACUGCGGUGACUCGGUGUGUUACGAGACUUGAGUUUGCAUUCUUAAACAUAACAAGCUCCCAUUACGACCAUAUCCCAAGGCCACAAGGAGGAUUAGCCGGAUUUUCAUGGGUGAUUUUCCCGUGCCAAGCUAUCCACAGCCCCAUGAAAAUCCCAGCACCUUCCACGAGAGGCGUUUCAAUCGGACAAACGUUAAGUGCCGAUAUUCUCCAAGGCCACGGGGAGGAUUAACCGAAUUUUCAUGGGUGGUUUUCCCGUGCCAAGCUAUCCACAGCAUCACAAAACAGUCCAUAAAAAUCCCAGCACCUUCCCAAGAGAGGCGUUUCAAUCGGACAAACGUUAAGCGCCGAUAUUCUCCAAGGUCACAGGAAGGAUUAACCGAAUUUUCAUGGGUGAUUUUCCCGUGCCAAGCUAUCCCCAGCCCCAUGAAAAUCCCGGCACCUUCCCACGAGAGGCAUUUAAAUCGGACAAACAUUAAGUGCCAAUAUUCUCCAAGGUCACAGGAAGGAUUAACCGGGUUUUCAUGGGUGAUUUUCCCGUGCCAAGCUAUCCACAGCCCCAUGAAACUCCCGGCACCUUCCACGAGAGUCUUCCGAAGUGGUCAAACGUAGGUGCCGAUAUGUUUAAGAAUACAGACGUCAAACUGGUAUUAUCAAACGCGUCAAGUUCUUACUACGUCAAUUUUUUAAGGCCAGGGAUGAGCUACGUUGGGUCAAGAGAGUCACAGUGCGGAACCCUUGCCAAACUACCGCCAGGGUCAUAGAACCACAACUCCGGCAACUCCCGCAAGCCUUCAAGAAUAGACGCACUAAGACCUAAAGAGUUUAAUACGACCCUCGGACUUCAACAAGGUGGCUACGAACGGGGGUUGGGGGUUGGGAAUGUGGGGUCGAUAUAACAGACUAACACACGACACACUCCGUAACAACAAACGAAACUCCACUAGGCUGUAACAACGCUACGUAUGAGUGUGUCCGUAACCUAAGCCCCGGGCCCACUGCGGCGGCGAGGGGCUGUGACGAGAUGGGAUGCCACUAACCUAACCUAACCUUAGCCUAGUAACUCGUACCUAUCGACGAUAUAUAAUUGCAUAGUAUUAUAGAACUACAGGAAACUCUUCUCCUUUGCAUAGAUGACGGAACAUGCAUACUACAGGGAGGGCGGUGCUAUGGGGUCCGAUGGUGGUGUUGGCGACAGUGCUGGUGAGAGUGGGAGCUAACCGAUAACCGAACUCGACAGCCAGAUAUUCAGUCAACCAAAGAA
This is a long non-coding RNA of Eriocheir sinensis (Chinese mitten crab), 6028 nucleotides long. RefSeq lists it as uncharacterized. NCBI's taxonomy places the organism in Eukaryota, Metazoa, Arthropoda, Malacostraca, Decapoda, Varunidae. The record is from RefSeq and is a predicted model, not a curated record. The transcript is spliced from 7 exons.